ACAGCUCCAUCUAGAUGUCGGAACGCAGCUGAGGUAGCGGCACCACUGGCAGUGGUCAUUCGCGUUCACUCCUUUGAAAAGCAUCCCCAUCCCAAUGGCGAAUCUGCGCAGGUUACGCAGCACAAACAUGAGUUCAAAUUUACGCCUUGUUUACUUGGCAAAAUUGGGAGGCGCCAAAUUACUGUUACAACACUGUAGCACACUGUAGCGUUUCGUUUGUAUUUGUGAAUUAUUAUCCAAAUAUUGACUAAUUAGGCUCAAAAGAUUCGUCUCGCAAAGUACAACAAAAAUGUGCAAUUAGUUUUUAAUUUCGUCUACAUUUAGUACUCCAUGCAUGUACCGCAAGUUUGAUGUGAUGGGGAAUCUUCUUUUUGCAUAGUGUUAAAGUUGGGAGUUAGGGGUGAAGUAAACAAGGGGUUAGUCAAAACGACCUAACUGACAGAGUCACAGAGCACACUUUUUUUUGGUGGGGAAAGUGAAAGCUGACAGAAUGCAUUAGGUUAGCAUUAUGGCACAAUUAAUAUUAAAGCAAGUACUAUCAUGUUAGGUCUCCGAAGAGGCGGCACCAGCAUGUG
RNAcentral lists this long non-coding RNA (575 nucleotides) under Setaria italica (foxtail millet). RNAcentral describes it as "long non-coding RNA (SITA_LNC007065)". The record is from RNAcentral. Lineage: Eukaryota; Viridiplantae; Streptophyta; Magnoliopsida; Poales; Poaceae.